UACGAGGGGUCCUAGCGUUGUUCGGAAUCAUUGGGCGUAAAGAGUCUGUAGGCGGUCUUGUAAGUCAGGUGUGAAAGCCCCGGGCUCAACCCGGGAAGUGCAUCUGAUACUGCUUGACUUGAGUGUUAGAGAGGGCAGUGGAAUUCCUGGUGUAGUGGUGAAAUACGUAGAUAUCAGGAGGAACACCGGUGGCGAAGGCGGCUGCCUGGCUAAACACUGACGCUGAGAGACGAAAGCGUGGGGAGCAAACAGG
RNAcentral lists this ribosomal RNA (253 nucleotides) under uncultured bacterium. Its description in RNAcentral is "partial 16S ribosomal RNA". It matches the Rfam family "Bacterial small subunit ribosomal RNA", at positions 524 to 776 of the family's 1533-position model. The record is from RNAcentral.